GAUUACCUUAACUAACGCAAAACUUCACAAUCUUUCACUGAGGAAAAAAGUGAGUUUGUGGGCACUGGAUAAUCAUGUUCUUGUAUAUUAACCUCUCACGUCCGCUGCAAACAAGUCUUAGAGUCAUUCUUAUACAUUGACCAUAAGGCAAUGAGAGGUCCAUUCUAUCUAAAUUUCCCUAUAAAGUUGUUUGUCCUGCGCUGAAUUAUUCCAAAGGGAUAAGAACAGUACAGUAACUGAACAAACGUCUCAGUGCUGAUGUGUGACGUGACAUCUAAAAUUUAAUCUGGUUUUGACUUGUGCUUCGAUUCGGCUCACAACAUUUGGGGAACUUUGUAAUAUAUCAGGAAAUACUUUCAUUUGCUCAUGGCUUUGAGCUAGAAAAUUACCAGCAUUGUAGCACGAUGGUAGUGCUAAAACUCUUCUUCUUUGAUUAAGGAAAGGUUCAGAGAGGAAGGUGCAAUUCCAAUGAGAAGAACGCAGCUGUGAAAAGGCAGCAUCUACACAGUCCUGUAACUACACUCAGGUGCACCACCUGAGUACCCGGCCUCUCAAUUCUGUUCCCAAGCCAGAUUUCCUUUAGUUUCCUCCCACCAAGCCCAGACAGCUUAAUAGAGAAAUCAUUUUUAUUGGCUCUAUAGUGAGGCUUUUUACUUUCUUUCUUAGCUUACACAGUUUAUUUACAAUUCACAUCUUAGGUGCUUAUGCCUGAAUGUCUUCACUUUUUCUGUCCAAUAAUUUCUGUGUUUCAGAUGAAUUCACCUUUGAAGAAUACAAUGCCCCUUGCAGUGCUGAAUCUCAGCAAGGAAAUGCUUGAAAACAGGAGCUUAUGGACCUCAUCAGAUGAACUUCUUCAGAAAUGAAGAACAGACUUACCGAGAGAGGACAGUAAGAGAAAGAAGGGAAGAUCAUUGGAAAUACAUAAAAUUUGUAUGUUGAAUAAAUUUAUGGCAUUUAUAACUC
Molecule: long non-coding RNA, 963 nt
Organism: Sapajus apella (tufted capuchin)
Lineage: Eukaryota; Metazoa; Chordata; Mammalia; Primates; Cebidae
Exons: 2
Source: RefSeq, a predicted model, not a curated record